Molecule: long non-coding RNA, 580 nt
Organism: Rhodamnia argentea
Lineage: Eukaryota; Viridiplantae; Streptophyta; Magnoliopsida; Myrtales; Myrtaceae
Exons: 2
Source: RefSeq, a predicted model, not a curated record
GGGCAUCCUAUGGAUAAUUCGGUUUCCACGUCCAGUCCCCGUCCUCGAGGAACUUCUUGAGGCUCGGUCACAGAUUUCAGCGGCUCUAGCUCAUCGUUCUGAAACUUAAAACGUCCAUGAUACUCCAUUAUCUUUUUUGGGGGGAAAUUGUAGAAUCAAUACAUGAGCGACACAACUAGAGGUGCACCUUGCAUGUACCUUUCUUGCCCUAAUUCUGCUUAAGCUUCUCUCUAACUGAUUCUGCGUUGAUUGUAGCUCCUCGAUGGAACACGUAUCUAAGACUUCUCCUAAGAGCCGUCUACACAACCAUUCGUGCAUAAUGAAAUCAACACGAUAUCAGACUGACUAAUAAAAGAUUUAACGAUUUGCCAAAAACAUUACGAAGGAGAUCAGUCUUGGACCUUUUCGAAAUGUCAAGAAGUUCAAUCUUCUUUACCAUCAUGUCUAGAGAGUUUCCCUUCAGAUUCUGCAUCCAAAAAACAGACACACUUAGCUCCGUUCAACUUGAAUGAUGUCUCGAGUUUGUUCUCUCUUUGUUGUUCACAUCCUUGAGUGAGAGAAAUGAAUGCUGUGACGGUCA